This 873-nucleotide ribosomal RNA is filed under the name Russula sp. RNAcentral describes it as "partial large subunit ribosomal RNA". It matches the Rfam family "Eukaryotic large subunit ribosomal RNA", at positions 39 to 887 of the family's 3401-position model. Lineage: Eukaryota; Fungi; Basidiomycota; Agaricomycetes; Russulales; Russulaceae. The record is from RNAcentral.
CAUAUCAAUAAGCGGAGGAAAAGAAACUAACAAGGAUUCCCCUAGUAACUGCGAGUGAAGCGGGAAACGCUCAAAUUUAAAAUCUGGUGGUCUUUGGCCAUCCGAGUUGUAAUUUAGAGAAGCGUCUUCCGCGCUGGACCGUGUACAAGUCUCCUGGAAUGGAGCGUCAUAGAGGGUGAGAAUCCCGUCUUUGACACGGACCCCCAGGGCUUCUGCGAUGCGCUCUCGAAGAGUCGAGUUGUUUGGGAAUGCAGCUCAAAAUGGGUGGUGAACUCCAUCUAAAGCUAAAUAUUGGCGAGAGACCGAUAGCGAACAAGUACCGUGAGGGAAAGAUGAAAAGCACUUUGGAAAGAGAGUGAAACAGUACGUGAAAUUGUUGAAAGGGAAACGCUUCAAGUCAGUCGCGUCGACCGAGACUCAGCCUCGCCUCGGCUUGGUGUACUUCUCGGUCCGACGGGUCAGCAUCGAUUUCGAUCCUCAGAUAAUGGCGAGGGAAAGGUGGCACCCUUAUGGGUGUGUUAUAGUCCCCUGUCGGAUGUGAGGGUCGGGAUCGAGGAACUCAGCAUGCGCCUUUCGGCGUCGGGGCUUCGGCUCACGUUUACGUGCUUAGGAUGCUGGCGUAAUGGCUUUAAACGACCCGUCUUGAAACACGGACCAAGGAGUCUAACAUGCACGCAAGUGUUCGGGUGGAAAACUCGCAUGCGAAAUGAAAGUGAAAGUUGGGACCUCUGUCGUAGAGGGCACCGACGCCCGGACCAGACCUUCUGUGACGGAUCCGAGGUAGAGCGUGUAUGUUGGGACCCGAAAGAUGGUGAACUAUGCCUGAAUAGGGUGAAGCCAGAGGAAACUCUGGUGGAGGCUCGUAGCGAUUCU